Molecule: ribosomal RNA, 369 nt
Filed under: Triticum aestivum (bread wheat)
Lineage: Eukaryota; Viridiplantae; Streptophyta; Magnoliopsida; Poales; Poaceae
Description: partial small subunit ribosomal RNA
Source: RNAcentral
AUGCACUCGGGGACCUGUGGUCACCAUGCGUCCUCCCGGAGCAUCGUGACCAAAGCAUACCAAGUAGGAUUCUACUGGCCACGGGCCAAUGAAGCAGCAAAAGAGAUCGUUGAGAAGUGUGAAGGUUGCCAGUUUUACUCAAACAUGUCUCACAAGCCCGUAUCUGCUUUGAAGACUAUUCCACUCGUCUGGCCAUUUGCUGUGUGGGGGUUGGACAUGAUUGGGCCUCUAAGGACCGAAAAAAGUGUCUUCACUCAUUUGCUCGUGGCAGACGACAAAUUCACCAAGUGGAUUGAGACCGAGCCCAUCAAGAACCUAGACUCAAGCAGAGCCGCCAGCUUCAUCAGAGAGUUGAUAUUCCGAUAUGGG